Non-coding RNA from Podarcis lilfordi (Lilford's wall lizard), 74 nucleotides. The record is from the annotation of a GenBank genome assembly. Lineage: Eukaryota; Metazoa; Chordata; Lepidosauria; Squamata; Lacertidae.
UUGGAUAGAUCAGUUGGUAGAGCAUGAGACUCUUAAUCUCAGGGUUGUGAGUUCAAGUCCCACAAUGGGCAAAA